GGCCGGAUGGUGAAGUAGUUUUAACACAGCGGUCCGCAAAACCGCCAUGCAUGGGUGCAAAUCCCAUUCCGGCCU
RNAcentral lists this transfer RNA (75 nucleotides) under Candidatus Collierbacteria bacterium RIFOXYB1_FULL_49_13. RNAcentral's name for it is "tRNA-Cys". It matches the Rfam family "tRNA". From Rfam's summary of the family: Transfer RNA (tRNA) molecules are approximately 80 nucleotides in length. Their secondary structure includes four short double-helical elements and three loops (D, anti-codon, and T loops). The record is from RNAcentral. Lineage: Bacteria; Candidatus Collieribacteriota.